RNAcentral lists this ribosomal RNA (331 nucleotides) under uncultured Mycobacterium sp. RNAcentral describes it as "bacterial SSU rRNA". It matches the Rfam family "Bacterial small subunit ribosomal RNA", at positions 26 to 359 of the family's 1533-position model. The record is from RNAcentral. Lineage: Bacteria; Bacillati; Actinomycetota; Actinomycetes; Mycobacteriales; Mycobacteriaceae.
AGGACGAACGCUGGCGGCGUGCUUAACACAUGCAAGUCGAACGGAAAGGCCUCUUCGGAGGUACUCGAGUGGCGAACGGGUGAGUAACACGUGGGCAAUCUGCCCUGCACUUCGGGAUAAGCCUGGGAAACUGGGUCUAAUACCGGAUAGGACCUCAAGACGCAUGUCUUCUGGUGGAAAGCUUUUGCGGUGUGGGAUGGGCCCGCGGCCUAUCAGCUUGUUGGUGGGGUGACGGCCUACCAAGGCGACGACGGGUAGCCGGCCUGAGAGGGUGACCGGCCACAUUGGGACUGAGAUACGGCCCAGACUCCUACGGGAGGCAGCAGAAGGG